RNAcentral lists this ribosomal RNA (539 nucleotides) under Salmonella enterica subsp. enterica serovar Corvallis. Its description in RNAcentral is "partial 23S ribosomal RNA". It matches the Rfam family "Bacterial large subunit ribosomal RNA", at positions 312 to 859 of the family's 2925-position model. The record is from RNAcentral. Lineage: Bacteria; Pseudomonadati; Pseudomonadota; Gammaproteobacteria; Enterobacterales; Enterobacteriaceae.
AAGAAAACUGGUGAGUAGAAUGUUCUGGAAAGUUCAACCAUAGAGCAUGAUAGUUGCGUAUACGAAGCCGGUCGAAGCCUAGUGGUAUCCUGAGUAGCGCGGAGCACGAGGAAUUCUGCGUGAAUCAGCCGGGACCAUCCGGUAAGGCUAAAUACUCCCGAGAGACCGAUAGCGAACCAGUACUGUGAAGGAAAGGUGAAAAGCACUUCGAACAGAAGAGUGAAAUAGUUCCUGAAACCAUGCGCCUACAAGCGGUCGGAGCUCUAACGAGUGACGGCGUGCCUUUUGCAUAAUGAACCUACGAGUUGCCUUUGCCGGCAAGGUUAAGUGUGACGACACACGUAUCCGAAGCGAAAGCGAGUCUGAAGAGGGCGUAUAGUCGGCAGUGGCAGACGCGAAACCAAGUGAUCUACCCUUGAGCAGGUUGAAGUCCGGGUAACACCGGAUGGAGGACCGAACCAAUCAGCGUUGAAAGGCUUCUGGAUGACUGGAGGGUAGGGGUGGAAGGCUAAUCAAACUUGGAGGUAGCUCGUACUCCC